This 1331-nucleotide long non-coding RNA is filed under the name Sus scrofa (pig). RNAcentral's name for it is "lncRNA (ENSSSCG00055027625.1)". Lineage: Eukaryota; Metazoa; Chordata; Mammalia; Artiodactyla; Suidae. The record is from RNAcentral.
AGAGAAAACAAAUGCAAUGUCUCUGGGCAAAGUUGUAUUCAUCACUCAGGGGGAUUCCAAGUGAUGGAAAUUUUUUUAGUAUAUUUCAUUCUACCAAAAAAAAAGAAAAUAUUCUGUUAAAGAAUCCUGCAUCAUGAAGAAAUUGCACUCAACUGCAUUGACUGGUGAUGUAAUAAUUCAUUCAAGGUCACUGUGAAAUAAGCCAAGCAAAAUAUAUUUAUUAUGAUUAAUAUAAUGGAGCCACUAUUCAUUCAUUACAUGACAUUAAAUUAUUAACUACAUUAAAAUAAAAUCUUGUAAUAAGCAUAGACUAUUAUUGACAUUAGAUGCCUAUUACUUGAUUUCAGGUGCUAAAUGGAUAAAUUAUUCUAUAUUUUACAUAUUGACCUAGUAUAUAUUCACUUUGACUACGCAUAUUGGAUGAUGUGAUGUGUUUUUGAAAAAAUUUUAGAGUGUUUAUCACGUGCCAUGCAUUUGAGAAAGUUAAAUAAUUCUUGUUUAAGUAUUUCAGUGUUAGGGAUACAAGAGGGACAAAACAGACAAAAAUUCAUGCCCUUAUGGAGCUUACAUUACAGUCAUUCAUACUUUUGUUUGAAUGAUGUCCUUUUAAAUUUUAUUCUGUGAUCUCUUAUGUGACCAUAACUCCCCAUCCAUCAGUGGUGAGAUUCUAUUCAUUGCUAUUGUUGGACUAUGUUGUAAUGUGUAAGUCAUAAGCAGCUUUCCAUGGAUAGAAUUUAAGAAUGAUAUCUUAAAUUUUAGAACAUCAGUUACAGAGCAACAACACUGCUGUUCAAAAACACUUGUCUCCAGCUAUUUCAUUAUACCUUCUGAUGUGGCUUCACAUCUAAGAGGACAAAAUAGCUUCAUCUUUGUCUGAGGAAUGCCAAGGGGAUGGAAAUAUGAAAAUGCCACCAGAUGCUGUCCACCUGUGAGCAAACAGGGGCACAUAAGGCCAUCAGGGUCCUGGUUCCUCCCCCUCACCUUUUCAGAGAAAAAUCUCAUCAGCAGUGUUUUUCUUGAGAUUCCUAUGUCAAAGACCUACCUGAAACACCUCCAGAUAGUCUCGUAUUCCAGUGCUAACUGCCGCCUGCUCUUCCUCUAGCCAUUAUAUUUUCUUUCUAAAGGUCUGGAUGGGAAGGAGGGUUGCAGAACAUUGGGGAGAGAGAAAGAGAAAAUCUUGUCUUUACAUCUAUGUGGUUAAUUUUUCUAUGCAGGAGCAAAACAGCACUUAAAUUUUUUUGUCUGUGAAACCCUGGCUUGUGCAAAUUUCUAACUAGCUUCCUGCUCAUUGUAUGUCUUAGUUUCUUGUGAUAGGAAACUACCUGGUAGCA